UAAUCCAAAACCCUAAUUUCUAUCCAAUGGUUGGUUGACAUCUAUAGCCUUAGCAAACCACAUGUUGAGGAGCAGAAACUUACACAUGGUCUGCUAUAUGGAACACAUGCAUUGGGCCUGGUGGGAUAUAUAUUUCUCUUUUCCCAAUUUUUUUCUCAUUUGUGAAGUUUUUUUCUCUCUCUUCUCUCUUUUCUCUCUCAUACGAUCUCUCUCUCACUCUCUCUCUCUCGUGCUCUCACUCUCUCCUGUUCAUCAACAUGCAAUUCCAUAAAUAGGUUCCUCUCAUCUCAAGCUCUAAGGUAAGUGUAAUUUUGUAUCAAACAUCCAUGGAUUUCCUUUGAAUUCUUGAUGUGUUCAUCAAAUUUUAAGAACUAAAUUAUGAACUUGAUUGCAUGUGUGAGGUUCUGAUGGUGUUCAAGUUUUACAGAGAAGUUAGAGAAGCAAUGAACAUGGGUACAAGAUGCAAGCUUUGGAAUUUUGAUCGGUGAUUUUUGAAGAAGUUUGGGUUAAACCCGUGUUCUAGGACGAGGCUCCACUAAAAAGGAAAUGAGGUCUAGGGACGCGUUUGAAGUUGAGGUACUGAAGCUGUCAAAAUGGUUAAACCCGUGUUCUAGGAUGAGGCUCCACUAAAGAGGAAAUGAGGUCUAGGGACGCGUUUGAAGUUGAGGUACUGAAGCUGUCAAAAUGGUGUUUUGAGGACUACAGGUUUGGGUACUCAAGCGGCACAAAAGGAUGGUUUUAGGCUUGCGAAAUAAUGCCGUACUGUUGUUAAAUCUGUUAUCACCAUGUUCAUAGGACACAUUCUACGCCGUAGUCGACGCCGAUAUUGAGGUUGUGCUUCAGAAAGCAGAGAUUAGACGAGGUUACUCGAAGAGAUUCACAUAGAUUGGCAGUAAAAAAGGACAUUUCCUUAGUUGUUGCAUUGGGCUCUGCUACUCAAAUUGCAAUGUUUGUGGUAAAGGGAAAAGAAUUUCCACGAAAUUGGGAAUUGGAAGAAGUAUGUGAAACCCGUAUUCUGGACAGGGGCUCACUAAAACGACGCGUUUGAAGUUCAGGGUCAGGUGCAGAAUUUUGGGUUUGAGGUUAGCAUCAUGAUCAUCAUCUUGAGCUAUUGGGAAUUCUGUGGAGUAGCUCAUUUCUUAAAGUUUCUGAGUUAAUCUCAUUCAGUCUGCAGUUGAUAUUCAAACACCGGGUGAUCUUAUAACUCUUAUUGUUGCAGCUGCAACAGCUUUGAGAGGAGAAGCAGCUUUGAGAGCGAGAUUUCCAAAAGAAGCAAAGAAGAAUGCAUCAAUAAGUCCCUAUGAUAAGGGAAUAGCAGAAACACAAUUUCCACAUGCUUUUGCUUUUGAGGGUCAGAUGUUUGAAAACCUUUCUCCAUGUGUGGGUGAUUUGUUGCAGAUUACAGAAAAAGGUCUAUAUGAUACCUUAAUAUGUAGAAUCUUAUCAAAAUGAUUUCCAACUCAAGCCAAUGCCAAUCAUGUUAUGCGGUGACUGGAAUGGAAGCAAACGCGGACAUGUUUACAAGUUCCUUAGGUCUCAGGGUUUUGAAUCAUCUUACGAUACUGCACAUCAGUACACUGAUGCAGAUGUCGAUAAGGUCAUUACUUAGCAUUGUCUUUAGGAUUUUUCCUUUGAACAAUUAGCCAAUCACUUAUACUCAUUCUAUAUUAUGUCAUGCAAUUGGCUCAUAAAUCCUGACAAAUAUCGAAAAUUACUAAAAUCAAGUUGGAUUGAAGCAGUGUUUGGCAUGUUCAAGGUAUUCAUAUAACAUUUAGUCUUAGAGUUAUUUUUAAUAUCCCUGUUAGGAUUUUUAAACGUACAAGAUUAGGCCACAUGUGUUUCCUAUACUACUGUCAGCUUCCUCAGCAUAAUCUUGCUACCAAUAGUUGGCAAUGCAGCUGAACAUGCAGGAGCAAUCAUUUUUGCUUUCAAGAACAAGCUGAUCAGAAGAGAGUUUUUUAUUGGUGUCAAAGUUUUUUAGCUGCUUAUUUCUCAAGGAUACAAAAAAUGUUUGUGGUAGGCCUGGUAUUCAAAUGCGGAUAAACUCGUGGCAAGACGGAGUUCUUGGUACUAAUUGUCUGAUUCCUCCUAAAUGGAAUUGGACAUAUCAGUUUCAAGUCAAGGAUCAAAUUGGGAGUUUCUUUUGUAAUUAAUUCUAAUCUGUCUUCUGAUGGUUCAACAUAACAUAGAUGCAUUUGCUAAUGUGUGCACUUUUGAUUUGGUGGUUAAUGUUUAAUUCCAAUUGUUGUUUUGAUAGGAUUGCUCUUUAUGGUAUGGACCUUGAUGCUGAAGAUAGGGGAGCUCGUGGAUUAGGCUGAAGAUGGAAUUUUUGUUGUUUGUGGAGUUGUUGUUGGUGGUGAGGAGUGGUGGUAUCUGUCUUGCAAGUGUCACAAUGUCGUGGUUCCUGAUUUCGGUGCUUACUAUUGCAAUAGUUGUGUGAAGCAUAUAUUCCAAGUUACCCCAAGGUUCAAGGUUUAAAUUGAGGUGAUUGAUGGUGAUUCCACUACUGUGUUCAUUCUCUUUGAUUCAGGCAUGAGUUAUGAGUUAUCUAAUGGAGAAGUCAUGUGCUUUCUUUGUUGCUCAAUCUAAGGGUUUAAAUGACGGAGAGUUUCCCACUGAAUUUGAAUCUAUUGUGUAAAAAGAUGUUGUUUACCAUUGAUAACCAUUUGAGGCAAACAAUUGUGUCUGAUGGAUCCUUUAGGGUAAAGAGGGUUUGCUUGGAUAACAAAAUAAUUGAAACAUUUUGUGCUGACUGUUGAAGGACCAUUUGUCACUCAUGUUAAUGUAUUUCUUGGAACACAAGUAUUUUGGUAUUAUAGUGUUUUCCAUAAUAAUGUUGUUCCAGAUUCCCAGCCCUUUGCUUUUCUGGAAGACAUAAUCUUUACUCCCCUUGCUCAAGCCAAGAAGGUUGUUGAAAAAGAGGCUUCUGUAGCUACUCUUAAGAGGAAUAUGAAUGAAUCCUUUUCAAUGUGGUUGCUCAAGUGGAAGGAAGAAAGCGGCUGAUGAAAGUGGAGAUAGAGAAGGAAUGAUUGAUAAGGGUUGCAAGAGAUGCUUAUUAUCCUAAAUAAUUGGUUCUGCCUGUCUUUAAUUUUAGUGUUGUGUCCAUGUUAUGUUUGGCUCACUGUGUCUUAGUUUUCAUAAGUUAGUUAAAUUGCAAUCAUUUGAAGUCAUGUACCCACUGUUUUGAUUCCUUAUAUGGAGGCUAAUGUCAACGUUGGUUUAUCUUAUCUAUUUUGAAUUAUUGGAAUAAAAUUAGUAGUUUAUACUUUGAA
Trifolium pratense (red clover) is the source of this 3272-nucleotide long non-coding RNA. RefSeq lists it as uncharacterized. The record is from RefSeq and is a predicted model, not a curated record. The transcript has 16 exons. NCBI's taxonomy places the organism in Eukaryota, Viridiplantae, Streptophyta, Magnoliopsida, Fabales, Fabaceae.